This 319-nucleotide ribosomal RNA is filed under the name uncultured Chloroflexota bacterium. RNAcentral describes it as "bacterial SSU rRNA". It matches the Rfam family "Bacterial small subunit ribosomal RNA", at positions 28 to 350 of the family's 1533-position model. The record is from RNAcentral. Lineage: Bacteria; Bacillati; Chloroflexota.
GAUGAACGCUGGCGGCGUGCCUAAUACAUGCAAGUCGAACGGACGGUCGCAAGACCGUUAGUGGCGAACGGGUGAGUAACGCGUUGGUGACCUGCCCUAUAGUGGGGGAUACCAGACCGAAAGGUCUGCUAAUACCGCAUGAGUUCUCGGGAGAUUAGAAGCCUGGGAAGAAAGCCGAAAGGCGCUAAAGGAGGGGCCUGCGUCCCAUCAGCUAGUUGGUAAGGUAACGGCUUACCAAGGCGAUGACGGGUAGGGGACCUGAGAGGGUGACCCCCCAGACAAUGGAACUGAAACACGGUCCAUACACCUACGGGUGGCU